RNAcentral lists this ribosomal RNA (478 nucleotides) under uncultured bacterium. RNAcentral's name for it is "partial 16S ribosomal RNA". It matches the Rfam family "Bacterial small subunit ribosomal RNA", at positions 28 to 523 of the family's 1533-position model. The record is from RNAcentral.
AAUGAACGUUGGCGGCGUGGAUUAGGCAUGCAAGUCGAGCGAGUACCGUAGCAAUACGGGGACAGCGGCGAAAGGGACAGUAAUGUGUAGGUACCUACCCCCGGGUUCGGGAUAGCUGCGGGAAACUGCAGGUAAUACCGAAUAAUGUCUUCGGACCAAAGGUGUGAUUCCACCUGGGGAGGGGCCUGCAUCCUAUUAGCCUGGUGGUGGGGUACCGGCUUACCAAGGCUAAGACGGGUAUGGGGCGUGAGAGCGUGCCCCCACUCACUGGGACUGAGACACUGCCCAGACACCUACGGGUGGCUGCAGUCGAGAAUCUUCGGCAAUGGGCGCAAGCCUGACCGAGCGACGCCGCGUGCGGGAUGAAGGCCUUCGGGUUGUAAACCGCUGUCGUAGGGGAGGAAGAUCCUGUGAAGAACAGGGUUUGACCGAUCCUAGGAGGAAGGGCCGGCUAAUCUCGUGCCAGCCGCCGCAGUAA